Molecule: long non-coding RNA, 255 nt
Filed under: Salvia miltiorrhiza (redroot sage)
Lineage: Eukaryota; Viridiplantae; Streptophyta; Magnoliopsida; Lamiales; Lamiaceae
Description: long non-coding RNA (SMIL_LNC008497)
Source: RNAcentral
UUAACAUUUACAUCAUAAUUUAUCAAAUUGGCAUUAUUUUGCAUCUCUCUUCCACCUCUAUUUUGUGUUAUAUUUGUAGGGACAAUCCAAAAUAUGCACUGGGGUAAAAUCGAAAAGAAAAAAAAAGAAUAUUAAUCAAUUUUUUUAAAAAAAACUGACUUAUUUUCCAUGCAUAUUACUACUACACAGAAACAUGCACCCGAAAAAAAAUUAAAUUUUUCUUGCCACCCACAACCCCACCCCCCACCCUACCCC